This 531-nucleotide ribosomal RNA is filed under the name uncultured bacterium. RNAcentral's name for it is "bacterial SSU rRNA". It matches the Rfam family "Bacterial small subunit ribosomal RNA", at positions 8 to 526 of the family's 1533-position model. The record is from RNAcentral.
AGAGUUUGAUCAUGGCUCAGGAUGAACGCUAGCGACAGGCCUAACACAUGCAAGUCGAGGGGCAGCGAAGAGGUAGCAAUACCUUUGUCGGCGACCGGCGCACGGGUGAGUAACACGUAUGCAAUCCACCUGUAACAGGGGGAUAACCCGGAGAAAUCCGGACUAAUACCCCAUAAUAUGGGCGCUCCGCAUGGAGAGCCCAUUAAAGUGAGCAAUUUUGGUUACAGACGAGCAUGCGCUCCAUUAGCCAGUUGGCGGGGUAACGGCCCACCAAAGCGACGAUGGAUAGGGGUUCUGAGAGGAAGGUCCCCCACAUUGGAACUGAGACACGGUCCAAACUCCUACGGGAGGCAGCAGUGAGGAAUAUUGGUCAAUGGUCGGCAGACUGAACCAGCCAAGUCGCGUGAGGGAAGACGGCCCUACGGGUUGUAAACCUCUUUUGUCGGAGAGUAAAGUACGCUACGUGUAGUGUAUUGCAAGUAUCCGAAGAAAAAGCAUCGGCUAACUCCGUGCCAGCCGCCGCGGUAAUUC